GGCACGAUGGCCGAGUUGGUUAUGGCGCUAGGUUAAGGUCACCUUAAUAUCUGUGCCCCACAGUCUCCUAGUUCGGAAACGUACCUGGGUUCAAAUCCCAGUCGUGUCA
Non-coding RNA from Eremomyces bilateralis CBS 781.70, 109 nucleotides. Lineage: Eukaryota; Fungi; Ascomycota; Dothideomycetes; Eremomycetales; Eremomycetaceae. The record is from the annotation of a RefSeq genome assembly.